ACCACCUGCUUAAAGACCUUCUUGGCUAAAGGUUUCUGUAUGAAAGUUAAGAAUGAUUCUCGAGAGUCAGGCAUUUCUUAGACAAAGCCUUUAACAGUUCUUUUGGUGACAGAACCUCAUUUUGUGCAUUCACUUCAAAUGACUAAACCCCACCCACUUUUGCUACUGUGGUAAGUAUGAUAGCUCAGAAUUCACUGCUAAUAGGAUGACAGUGAAUUUGAGCUUCCUUUUCAGGGUAGACAGCUUUUUUGUCUUGCAAUUAAAAAAAAAAGGGUGUGUUUAUGCACGUGUUUUGUAGCAUCAGCAAUGCCAUCAGGUAACAGAGCAGAUCCCAAGGAAGAAGUGUCUUUGGUUAGAUUGAAAAGGAAGAUAGUGAAAGGAAAAAAUGCCAUUUUUGGUGUAGUAUUUCUUCACUAACUGGACUUGGUGAUCUCAUAACUUUUCUGGGAUUUCCUCCAUGCCCAGUCUCUGUGUUAAUUCAUCUUACUGCAAAAUGGAGCUUGCACCUGAAGGUCUGCCUGUGUAAGUGGCUGAUGUUCCAAUUCUGUUUAUUUAAAAAACAGUAAUUUGUUAUUAAAAUACACAACAGUAUCAGAGUGGGGUUUAGGGUAAAUGGUGCUUCUUGCUUCCUAAAAGGGAUCACACUAACAGGAUAAAUUUGUCUUGAAUUUAUUCUGCCAGGUUCUUGUCUGGUUUUUUUCUCCCAGUUUUGUUGUUUCUAUUCUGCACUGGUUAUCGUAUUGAGUAUUAAUAAGAAGUAGCACCUGAAAUGCAAGCCUGUGUGUUCUAGUGUAAAACGAAGUACGAAGCAGCACUGCACACUACAAGGAUAUUGCUGGCUUUGCCAUAUUCCAGAGGGGCAGUAACAAACCCAGAAAAAAAUCAUUGGGAUGCUAAAUUUUUAUUCUACUACCUGUUGUUUGAGUCUGCAAGUAUAAAUAUUUAGAGUAAAGAAGCUCAGAGCGGGUUCUGCAGUUUGCAGUAAUGGGAGUAAGUGCAACAUCUGAGGUGAGAAAAUCUUUCCGUGUCCUGAUUUUAUUCUUCAAAAGGGAAUCUUCAGCUACUUGGAACAUACGCUAUAAAUAAAAAAUAGCAGAAUAUCUAAUCUAAGCCUCCUUAGCGCUGAAAAUUCUUUAAGUAUUCUUAGAGGUUAAUAUUUUAUUUUAGGACACAGAAGCAAAGUGCUACAGUUCACUCACUUCCUCAUUUUUUGAAUGCUCAAAGCAAAGCAGAAAAGACAAAUAUGAGAAGGCACUGCCAAGCUGUGCUGAAGAAAAGGUAGCAGUGAUCUUGAUGAUCACUGAACUUCCAGAUCUGUUAAAAGGCAACACAUUUGCAGUGCAGAGGCACACUGUUGUUCUGGGGACUCUCACUUGUGCAUCUUCUGCAUCAUCUCCAGCCUUCUGAAGACUCAUGACCAUGAAGGACAGAGGAGACGACUGAACUACUACAGGGCAGUACUACCGCCCUCUCACAAUUCCAAUCAACAACUUCCUGAGGGAAUACAGAAAGUACAAAUUAUAUCACAUGCAAUUUCCUUUCAGAUACCCUGAUGUCAUAAAGCAAAAAAGACCCCCCUCAUUCUGCUGGGAGUGCUCUUUCCAGCGCUGCCCAGGAUGCUCUUGGCUCUUGCGGCAAGGGCACAUAGCUGGCUCACAUUCAUCUUGUCCAGCAAGAUUUCCAGGUACUUUUUGCAAAGCUGCUUUGAGCAGUCACAUGAGCUGGUCCUGUACUCCCCAGGUACAGGACUUUGCUCUUCCCUUUGUUAAACUUCAUGAGGUUCACGUCUGCCUAUUUCUUCAAGCUGUUGAAGUCCUCUGAAAGACAUACAGCACUUGGUGUAGGCAACAUCUCCUCCCACCCUUGGAACAUCUGCAAACUUGCUGAGGUUCCAAUUCUCUGCUGUCAUCCAGAUCAGUAAUGAAGAAGUUAAACAGUAUUGGCCCCAGUAUUGACCUCUGAGAUAUAUCACUGUUGACUGGUCCCUAGCUGGACUUCAUACUGUUGGCCACAACCCUGUUAGACUGGCAGUUCAGCUAAUUCUCAGUACACCUCACUGUACACUUAUUUAGUCUGUAUUUCAUCAGUUUGCCUAUGAGACUGUUAUGAGAGAUACUGUCUAAAGCCUUAACUAAGGUUGGGAUUAGUAAAAUAUCCCCUCUCUGCAUGCUCGGUGUCUCUGUAUUCCACCAGAUCCCCUGUCCCUGCUUCCACCUGUGGUACACUUCAUUUUUAUGUUUGGGUUUUGUCAGGAGCUCCUUGCUUGUGUUCAUCCAUGCAGGCCUCCUUGCAUUUAUGCACGGGUGUUUCUUUUCAAGUAGGAGCAAAAAGGAGGAGAAGGAAAUGCUUCGUGUGAGUGCAGUCUCUAAGAAGACGGUCCCCAAAGUAGAGGAGGUCUGCUGGGAGACUGCAUCCACAGGAAGAAGUCUGGUCUGUAGGGAUGAUGGCUGCUGGAGCAUCUCUCUUUCCCUGCUGUGCCACUGAGGAAAGCAGCGUCUUGUCAUCAGGGACAAGCCUCUUGGAUAGCAGAAAUUGCUCUGUACUAGUUGCAAUGGCAAUAGGCAGACUGCAAGGGACAAGAAAGGCAAACCUAGAGAUCAAAUUCAUCAAAACAAGACAGGAUGAUAUUGGAAAUAUUCCUGGACACCUGGAAGACAACUUUGGGCUUAGAUCUGCUCAGCCUUCCUCCUCCUCUGCCCUAGAUGCUACUUUUUGACACGUCUGUUUCAUAAAUGAAACCCCUAUUCCACACAUGUAUAAGCCAACACUUUCAAACACUUGCCUCCACAAAGAAUAUUUUCCUUCAGACGAGGACUGAAUGAAGGCAGAACUGCAUGGAAACUCAGCAUAUUGUAAGCAAAACAGCCUAGAGCAUUCAUCUCAUAUCUCAUCUCAUGUCAUCUCAUUGUAUAGUUCCAUGUGACCACUAAACUGGCUGGUCAUGGCUAGUGGCCACUAGCAAGGCGAAGGUCUUAUCGUAGGCCACUAGUUGCAAGGCAGAGGUUUUACCCUAGGCUGUGCUCUUCCAUUGUCAUUUUUGUGUUGGCAUUGCUGCCAACCUUGGCUGGCAUUGGCUGGGCUGGGGUAAACCAGGAUGGAAGCUCUGCAGGGCAGAGAUAAGCCAAGAAGAGAUUUCUUGCAGUGUCUCACCCAGGCCAGGUGAGAGCCAGCAGAGCCUCAGAGGAAGCAAUUCAAAGAGGAAAGCCACAGUAGCACUGAUUUAGAUCAAUCUAAAUUCCUAUACUAGUGUGUGCUUUCUCAGUGAGGCACUUCCUUCUCCUGCCUCUGCUCUGUCCUAGGCACUGCUAUCUCUCCCCCAGUGCUCCUUCUGAGGCUGCUUUGGAGCCCUUGUGAGUUGACUCAGCUCACCAACCUCACAGAAAAAAAACCCUCUUCAUUUGCUUGUUGGAUUGAUUCAAUGUGUAAUUAUAUGAAUCCCAUAACUCUUUGAGGGAAAGGGGGAGUGAAGGAAGAAGUUGGAGGAGAAGAUGAAACUGUCCUUUUUUGAUGGUCAAACCAUUAUUGCCAUCCACUGAGGGUGCAAUUUGAUGUUACACCUAACCAAUCUGACCAUGCAAGGUGCAACUGAAGAUAACAGUGCUAAACUCACUAAUCUGAUGUAAAGUGAACUCUUUUCUUUGUUGAGUUGCCACAAAGCUGUGUGAUUGCUAAAUCCAGUUCAAGAGAAGCUGCAGGAAUGUCUGUGUGGAACUUUUUGGGAAGAACAGAACUGUUGUAUUUUGUGGCAAUCUCCACUUAGGUUGUGCUAUCAGGAUGUUAAACUGUCCUCUUUGCAUGCUUUCAGAAGGGAUAAAAACAAAACUCAGCUUUUCAAAAAAAAUUUAUUUUUGAGUUGGGUCAACACAGUGAUCUGACUUAACAGCUGCAAAACAGUUCGUCCUAAACCAGAGAGAGAAUGAAAAGAUAAAGUGAGGGGCAGGAGAUAGGAGAAUCUCUUCUUUGAUAGCAGUGUGCUCUUACAUUGGCUGAUGCUGAACAUGGAACUGCUCCCCAAGAAAGGGAGUCCAGUCAGCUUUUUGUAGUAAACAGCUCGUCGAAAUGAUCUAACUUUAAAAAAUUCAUUAUCUUUUACUUUUGCAAACUGUGUUUUCACUGGCCUCACAAGCAGAUGACUUUAUGGGAGAAUGGGAGAAUUAAGAACUGCACCAGAGAGUGAUUGACUAUGAAAUUGGGAAGGAACUUAGCUGGCUUGACCAUCAGGAAAGUUGUAAUGUGGUAUUAUGCUCUGGAUUUUCUACAGUAGCUUGUAAUGAAGAAGAAUAAAGAUGUACCUCAG
This is a long non-coding RNA of Chiroxiphia lanceolata (lance-tailed manakin), 4297 nucleotides long. RefSeq lists it as uncharacterized. The transcript is spliced from 2 exons. The record is from RefSeq and is a predicted model, not a curated record. NCBI's taxonomy places the organism in Eukaryota, Metazoa, Chordata, Aves, Passeriformes, Pipridae.